CUCCUGGGGGGAGGGGAGGCAGAAACAACACAUCAGAGAGUGUGGCUGAUUUGGGGGUGCUGCUAUUAGCUUCCUCCCAUAGGUGACCCAUGCAGGCCCCUCUCCCAUUUGAGAUUCUUACUUGCAUAUAUAUAUAUAUAUAUAUAUGGAGGGAGAGAGAGAGGGAGAGUGUUAUAUUAUAAAUAUAAAUAAAUAAUAUUUAUUGUUAAAUAUAUAUAAUUUUUAUAUAUUUAUACAUAUAAAUUUAAAGACAGAAAUAAAUUAACUAUCUGUCCCUAUGGGUUAGAACAAAUUGUUUAAUCAGUAGGUCUAUAAAUAUUAAUAUGCAACAAGCAAUCUCCACACAUUAAGCCUCCAUAUCCAUGGGUCCUACAGCCAGAGAUUCAACUGAUUGUGGAUCGAAAAUAUUUGGGGAGGCCAGGCAAGUGCGUUAGCCUGAGUUUGGGUACCCAGAAUUCACGUAAAGAUGGGUAUCUAUAUGCCUCUAAAUACCAACGUUCCUAUGCAAAUUGUGCAGAGAUAGGAGUUCUGUGGAAGCUACUGACCAGCUAGCUUGGUACCUGCAGCAGAGAAACAGAAAGACUCUGCCUCAAACAAGGUGGAGGAUAAGGAAUGAUACAUGAGGCCCUCCUCUGAUCUCCACCCACACACAACAUUCUCUCUCUCUCUCUCUCUCUCUCUCUCUCUCUCUCUCUCUCUUUCUCUCUCUCUCUUUCUCUGUAGGAAAAUUUGUAUGUGCUAAAUACAUACAGAUGCUUCUUUGUAUACAGUAUUGACACUGUAUUAUGUACUAUAAACUAGUCACCUAAAGAUACUAAAUAUGAUUUGAAGAUUACACAAGUGUAGGAUGCGACCCAGAUACUAUACCAUUUUCCAUAAGAGACUUCAACAUCCAUAGAGUUUGGUAUUGUGGGGACUUACACUGAGGAUGGCCCUAUGCUUUAUAAUGAAGAAAGGCCAUACGGCACCUUAUCUCAGGAGGGAGACUCAGGACUCUGGUAAUUGUAGUUAGUGCCGGGAGAGUGAACUGUACGUGGGUGGGGAGAACUAGGCAACCAGGAAUAAAUGAGAAUUACAUUUGAUUGUAUAAUCUUUUACGCUGCUUGAAAUUUUUAAUGUGUGUAUUAUGUAUUCAAAAAUACAAAGUAAGCCGUGGAGUAUUAUCCUGGCCAAAAAUAUUUCUUCAAAUAUAUUAAAAUCGUUUUUUUUUGAGGAGCAAAAGGCUUGUUUUUGCAAGAAUAGCAACUGUUGUAGAAAUGAGUUCUGCCAUCUUCUAUGGGGGGAGCCCACAUCUGAAUUGCAUCCUUUGUGUGGGGCUGCACAAAGCACAGACUCUCCUGGCUGGAAGCAACCUCAGUCAGAGCCAAGCAAUGCAAGGGUCUUACUUUUCUGGCUCUGCUUGGGACUUCAAAGGAUGAAGGUAGGUACUCUGCCGUGUCCCCAGUAUCUCUCCUUCCAGCCUGGAUGGAGAACACCCCAGAUUCCCAGUUGCUGCUUUCCCCCCUGAAGGUCCUGCUUUGUCUUUAGAGCAGUAUUUCUUGUUGCUGGCUGCAGGCUUGUGAACAGCACAGGAAGAUGUAACUCUUUCUUUCUUCCUUUCUGGUUCUUUCUUUGUUAGUUUGUUUCAUUUACUUUCACACCUUUAUUUAAAUAAAGAUAACCUAGGGUUCUAUCUUAAACCAAUUAAUUAAAAAUAUUUUGGGCUGGGUCUGUUUUAAAGCUCAUGUUUAAGGUUCACAGGGAAUCAGAAUGAGGCUGACAAGGAAGCAGAGUUUCCCCAGGUCUACGUCCCUCCAACAGACCACAUCAUCAUCUCCCAAAGCACACUUCUCUGGGACACAGAUUCACCAUUCCCAGCCUCCUUCCUACCUUCCGUCGCCGCCGACUGUCCUCACAGCUUUCGAGCGACUACUCUGUCACCAGCUUUUCUUUUCUUUCCUCUAGAAAUGCUUCCUCACAGUCAACCUUGGGCCUUGUCAUCGAAACUGCCAUGACUGAAAUGUUUCACCCUGAGUCCCACAUCCUGGAUGUGUGGGACUCAAAUCCAUGGCAGCAACCUUAGACACACUGGGAAGAGGCUAGGCCGAGACAGUAACCGUGAACGUGAAGGCCCAGAACAACACAGUUGUCACCAGAAGCUACAAGAUGGGCACAGAGCAGUGUUUCUUCACCGCAUGUGUAGGGGACCAACUCAGGAAAUUAGGUACAAAAAAAAAAAGAGAGAGAGAGAGAACCCGCCUAAGGUACUGAAAAGCCGAAGCAGGCACAGAAACCCCAGCACUCCCGUUCAGUGGCCUCCGUCUCGGCACCUCCAGGCUAGGAGCCUCAUUAAAGCUAGGCGAGACAAAGAUGCCCACUAACACAAUUAAUAUUUAACAUUGCUCUAUAAUUUAUGGACAACUCAAUUAAAACUUUAAUAAAUGGAGAGAUGGGAACUCGUAAUGUUAGCGAGACAUCAAUUCUUCUCAAAUGAAUCUAUAAGUCAAGUGUAAUUCCAACCCAAAUCCCAAAAGGACUUAAAAAUUGAAUUUGACAAAAUAAUUAUAAAGUUUCUAUUGGAUUAAUAAAUUAAUGAAAGGAGCCAGUUCAUUUUAUUAGAAGUAAGAAUGAUAGAGGCAGAAAGUUGCCACAUCCCAUAUGAAUGCAUGUAUGAAAGCUGUCGUAAUUAAAACAGUGUGGCUGUGGCUUGGGAGCAGAUGGAUGAAGUGUGAAUAAAAUCAGGUCAGAAAUAUGCAGCUGUGCUUGUGGAAAAGCAGCCUAAAACUUUGAUUCAAUAACCCUUUCUUUCCUUCUUUCUUCUUGCUAUUUUCCUCACCUCUAUUCUUACUGUAGCCUCUCCCCCUCUCUCCCUCUCUCUCUCCUUCCCUCCCUCUCCCCCUCUCUCUCUCCCUCUCUCUUUCCCUCUCUCCCUUCCUCCCUCCCUCUCUCCACUCCCUCUCUUCCUCUCCCCUUCUCUCCUUCCUCUCUCCUCCCUCUCUCUUUCUCCCUCUCUCCCUCUCUUCUUUUUUCCCCAGUUGGGAAUCAAAACCAUUGUCUUGGGCAUACUAGGCAAGUACUCUACCACUGAGUUACAUUCCUAACCCCAGGGGUAAUGUUUCUAAUUACUUGAAAAAUUUGGAGUGAUUCGGUAUUUUGGUAAAUAUCAGUUAAUCCUUUGUGGGGUGGUGGGCUUAGAUUUCUUUGUUCACUGCUUACCUCAGUAUCAAGUCAAAAUGAGCAAACUAAUUCACUGUUAAGAAGAAAACAAUGGGUCCAUUGAAAUGGCUCACUGGGUAAGGGGCUUGCUGCCAAGCCUGAGGACCUGAGUUCAAUUCUCAGAACCUACAUGAUGGAAGGAGAACACUUACUCCCUCAAGUCACCUUCUGACCUCCACCUGUAGCAUGGAUCUCCUCCUCAAUAAAUAACACACACACACACACACACACACACACACACACACACACACACACACACACCAGAAGAGGGUAUAGGAU
Non-coding RNA from Rattus norvegicus (Norway rat), 3474 nucleotides. Lineage: Eukaryota; Metazoa; Chordata; Mammalia; Rodentia; Muridae. The record is from RefSeq and is a predicted model, not a curated record.